GCACAAGCAGCGGAGCGUGUGGUUAAUUCGAUGAUACACGAAGAACUUACCAGGGUUUGACAUGCUGGUGGUAGGGAUCCGAAAGGUGACCGACCCUCGGGAGCCAGCACAGGUGCUGCAUGGCUGUCGUCAGCUCGUGCCGUGAGGUGUCGGGUUAAGUCCCAUAACGAGCGCAACCCUUACCGUUAGUUACCAUCAGGUUAAGCUGGGGACUCUAGCGGGACUGCCACCGUAAGGUGAGAGGAAGGUGGGGAUGACGUCAAAUCAGCACGGCCCUUAUGUCCAGGGCUACACACGUGUUACAAUGGCCAGUACAAAGGGCUGCGAUACCGCGAGGUGGAGCGAAUCCCAGAAAGCCGGUCUCAGUUCGGAUUGGGGUCUGCAACUCGACCCCAUGAAGUCGGAGUCGCUAGUAAUCGCAGAUCAGCAACGCUGCGGUGAAUACGUUCCCGGGCCUU
Molecule: ribosomal RNA, 458 nt
Filed under: uncultured Leptospiraceae bacterium
Lineage: Bacteria; Pseudomonadati; Spirochaetota; Leptospiria; Leptospirales; Leptospiraceae
Description: bacterial SSU rRNA
Rfam family: Bacterial small subunit ribosomal RNA
Source: RNAcentral